GCUCUCAUCGUCUAGUGGCCUAGGACAAUAGGUUUUCAGCCUAUUUACACGAGUUCGAAUCUCGUUGAGAGCA
Candidatus Roizmanbacteria bacterium is the source of this 73-nucleotide non-coding RNA. Lineage: Bacteria; Candidatus Roizmaniibacteriota. The record is from Rfam.